AUUGAACGCUGGCGGCAUGCCUUACACAUGCAAGUCGAACGGUAACAGGUCUUCGGACGCUGACGAGUGGCGAACGGGUGAGUAAUGCAUCGGAACGUGCCCAGUCGUGGGGGAUAACUGCUCGAAAGAGCAGCUAAUACCGCAUACGACCUGAGGGUGAAAGCGGGGGACCGUAAGGCCUCGCGCGAUUGGAGCGGCCGAUGUCAGAUUAGCUAGUUGGUGGGGUAAAGGCCUACCAAGGCAACGAUCUGUAGUUGGUCUGAGAGGACGACCAGCCACACUGGGACUGAGACACGGCCCAGACUCCUACGGGAGGCAGCAGUGGGGAAUUUUGGACAAUGGGCGCAAGCCUGAUCCAGCAAUGCCGCGUGCAGGAAGAAGGCCUUCGGGUUGUAAACUGCUUUUGUCAGGGAAGAAAUCUUCUGGGCUAAU
This 432-nucleotide ribosomal RNA is filed under the name Comamonadaceae bacterium oral taxon A82. Its description in RNAcentral is "bacterial SSU rRNA". It matches the Rfam family "Bacterial small subunit ribosomal RNA", at positions 30 to 464 of the family's 1533-position model. The record is from RNAcentral. Lineage: Bacteria; Pseudomonadati; Pseudomonadota; Betaproteobacteria; Burkholderiales; Comamonadaceae.